GAUGAACGCUGGCGGCGUGCCUAAUACAUGCAAGUCGAGCGAACAGACGAGGAGCUUGCUCCUCUGACGUUAGCGGCGGACGGGGGAGUAACACGUGGAUAACCUACCUAUAAGACUGGGAUAACUUCGGGAAACCGGAGCUAAUACCGGAUAAUAUAUUGAACCGCAGGGUUCAAUAGUGAAAGACGGUUUUGCUGUCACUUUUAGAUGGUUCCGCGCCGCAUUAGCUAGUUUGUAAGGUAACGGCUUACCAAGGCAACGAUGCGUAGCCGAUAUGAGAGGGUGAUUGGCCAGACUGGAACUGAGACACGGUACCGACUCCUACGGGAGGAAGCAGUAGGGAAUCUUACGCAAAGGGCGAAAGCUUGACGGAGCAACGCCGCGUGAGUGAUGGAGGUCUUAGGCUCGUAAAACUAUGUUAUUAGGGAAGAACAAAUGUGUAAGUAACUAUGAACGUAUUGACGGUACCUAAUCAGAAAGCCACGGCUAACUACGUG
This 497-nucleotide ribosomal RNA is filed under the name uncultured bacterium. RNAcentral's name for it is "partial 16S ribosomal RNA". It matches the Rfam family "Bacterial small subunit ribosomal RNA", at positions 28 to 507 of the family's 1533-position model. The record is from RNAcentral.